CUCUUUCUUUCUUUCAUUUUUCUUUCUCUCCUCUCUUUCUUUUCUCUUCCUUUUUGCAGCCUCUUGUUGGAAGGGUGACUGCAAAAUUUCGUUACUUUUUCUCUUUUUCUCUUUCUUUCUUUCAUUUUUCUUUCUCCGCUCUCUUUCUUUUCUCUUCCUUUCUGCAGCCUCGUGUUGGAAGGGUGACUGCAAAAUUUCGUUACUUUUUCUCUUUUUCUCUCUUUUUCUUUCUUCCAUUUCCUCCUCCUUUCUCUCUCCUCUUUUUCUUUUCUUUUCUUUCUCUGUUUUUUUAAGGUAAUGGAAGCAGCUCAAUGGGAAAAAAACAAAGAUAAAAAAAUAUUGCCCGUUGAAUGCUGCUCCUGCCAGUGAAAUCAGACUUGAGUGGCCGAAGAGACACUCAAUUUUAGAUAGAGUUCAGACUUGAGUGAGCAAAAGAGCCACUCAAUUUUGGAUAGAGAGUUGUCUUAAUCUUCCCUUCCCUCAGGUUCUGUUUCAAGGGUGGAGCGUAACCAUGCCAAUCUUCAUUAUCGUGUAGGAAAAAAACAAAGCAUUCCAAUCACUCGUGUGGGAAGCAUUGUUCUAUCUGCCUGUCUCUCUUCCAGGUCACCACUGUCCCACCUCCCCUGAUGACAUGAGAGCCUUUGCCGGAGCAGGAUGGAGCACACUAACACCAGACAGAGAAAGAAGAAGAAGAAGUAGAAGUAGAAGAUGAGGUAGAGCCUUUGCCGGAGCAGGAUGGAGCACACUAACACCAGACAGAGAAAGAAGAAGAAGAAGUAGAAGUAGAAGAUGAGGUAGAGCCUUUGCCAGAGCGGGAUGGAGCACACUAACACCACACAAAGAAGAGGAAGAAGAAGAAAGGUGGAGGGAUGUUAGGAAAGGCCUUCGUCUCACAGCGGACUUAUAGAAAAAGAAACAGAAGAAGAAGAAGAAGGAGAAAGGUCUUUGUUCUGCAGUGGACUAGUAGUGACUGAUGAUGGUGAUGAUGGUGAUGAUGGUGAUGAUGGUGAUGAUGGUGAUGAUGGCCCACCACUUCUGUCAUCAACACCAACUCUUCACCUCAGCUGCUUGUGACGCAGGUUGCGUUGAGGCAGGGAGCAUCAGGGAGGAGAGAGUGCGUGGUCGUCAAGAGAGGGACUUUCAUAUGAGCUUGUCUGGACCCACAAGAGAAAAUACGGACAUUAAGCAAAAAGAAUUAGAAGAUGAAUAUGGAAGAUGGCGAGUGGCUGAGUGCCCCGUAUCUAUGGCUUAUGUGUGUGUGUGAAAGAGUGAGCCAGAGAGAUUGAUGGGAGAAUAAGGGAACAGUAGUAGUAGUAGUAGUAGUAGUAGUAGUAGUAGUAGUAGUAGUAACAAAGCCAUAGCAGGAAUCAUCUUACCAAAAGAGACAUCAAAUUCAGACUGAUAAUGACUAUAUAUUUAAUUUUUCUUUUCACAAUUUUCAUUUUUUUUCUAAGGUUUUCAGGAAUUUGGUAUUUAGUAUUCCACAAUCAUUCCUUUUUUUUCCCACAAUCUUCAUAUUUUUCAAGGUUUUCAGGUCAAUGGUUUUCUUUUCUUACAUGUAUAUUUUUGUCACUCAGGUAAUAACAUUGUCCCUGUGUUGAGGGUCGCCAAAUUCUCCUAUUCUGUGGCUCUGAGUAGUAGUAAUAGUAGUAGUUGUAGUAGUAGUAGUAGUUGUAGUAGUGUAGGCUGACCAGUUUGUACGCACCAUUCCAGUUACUAUUUGGUUCUCAUCCACUCCUGGGCCAAGGUUUUAAGAUCAAGUUCUGUCAAAAGUUAGAUUUUUAUAUUUUACUAUUUAAUCUUUACAUGUAUCCUUCUCUCCACAGUGUUGGCCAAGGCAUAAAAAUUUAACUCUUCAUUCUACUUCCUACACUGCGGUUUAUCUGAUAAGCAUAAUUAAUACUCUAAGGUUUCUGCACUUUUGAAAACAGUCCUGAAAUUGUACAUAAUGGAUAGAAAACUUGCAGAAAUAGCAACAAAAACCAAGAAGUAUGUAUUAAAAUAAGCCUAAAAUAGGUCUAAAAAACUGUACUAAGUCGAAGAUACCAAAAGGAGGCUCCGGGAAGAGCCGGGAACAUAUUUCCUUGAAUCAAACACAAGGAGUGUCCUCAGCGGCAUAUUUAUUGAGCAGCCUUCCAGACACACAAAACAAAAUAUAUUACAAGAAACCCUUGAACAAUAAAAUUAAAUAUUGAAAACAAACAAAUAUGAUGGUUUGGUUCAUGUUCUCAAGACCGAUGGAUUACUGAGGGAGUUAAAAAAAUCUUAAUUCUGUUGCAGGCACGCUGGGGACUUGCGAGCCCCAGGCAGGACAGGCGGGUCCUACCACAGCGGCUGCAGGGGAAGUUUUGAUCACUUUUUCCUGCUCCUCUUCACUGGCCCUUUGGUUGUCUGCAAAGGCGGCCGCCUGGUGAACCAUGCGUUGCCAGUGGUCGCUGUCACCAGCUGUUGCUGCAGGAAGUGGUGAGGCAAGUCACCAAGGAGUCUGAACCUCGUCUGUGGGGCCCUCGGCACGGUGACCAGACGCUGCACCACACAGAGUGAUGCUUGGCAGAGGUGAUCCUCAAGACGUGCCGUGCCAAGCCCAGUUGUAUCCUCAAGAGCAUGACCUCCAUGCUGGUGACCUUCGCCACGUCCAAGGCUUUGGUGUCUGACAAGGCUGCUCCAGUUGCUGCCAGGCUGGUGCAGAGGCAGUGCCGGUAGAAAUACUGCAGGAGGUGCCGGGGACAUUGGUGACCCAGGACUGCACCACACAGGAGGGGGUCAGCAUGGCAGCUCUGUGGACGCUGGUCUUUGUCUUGAGAUGACUUGGUCUAGACACGUCUGCCAAAGGCACUGUUUUUGUUGGCUGCUUGUUGCCCGCCUGUGACCGCUGCUGCCGGGUGUCUGGGAGGCUUCAAUACACAUACCAGUGAGACACUCACACUUGUUUCUUUAAAAACUAUAUGCCUGCAGUGUUCCUCCGGAAGCUUUCUGAAGUAUUAUUGACUUAGUACAGAUUUUUUAGACCUAUAUGUAUGUAUUUCCAGCAGUUUUAUCAUGCAUAGAAAUAAUAUUAAUAACAAAUGGACAACCAAAGUAACAAGUGACAACCCAGGAAUCAUGGAAGUCAGGACAGACAGAGGGCCAGGGGGGGAGGGGUGGAAGUAGAGCAUUUGCCAGGGCAGGACGGAGCAGACCAGCACCAGGCGGAGAGAGAGGUGGAGAAUGUUGGACAAGCCCUUUGUCCUGCGGUGGAGUGGUACUGGCUGAAGAUGAUGAUAAAUACAUGUCAGUCUCCCACAGUGUGCUUCAUGUGAUGAGCACCAAUUGGAAUGGCUGUUAUGUACACAGACUGGCGGGUGUCUGGUGACCUGAUGCCCUGUGCAGUCUGUCACUAACAAGGCUCACUCUAUGGCAACACCUUCAUUGUUACCUUCCUGUUAACCUGCUUCUGGUGGCAGCAUGUUUUUAACUUUAAAAAAAUUAACAAUCAGUUAUAAAAAGUUUAAAGUAUAUAUGAAUGCAUUUAUAACUGGCUGUGGCUGAAAACACCUGCAAGGAGUGACACAGCCGAAGGUGUCUGUACCAUUUUGUGAGCCUUGUGACACACUGGAACAGACUCAAGAGAAGCCGCUGAGAAAAGCCGAGGCCCAGACCCGACUCAUCGUCUGGUGCGGCCACAAAGCCAGAGCACUCAUCUACAGGGUGAGGCCAUGCACACUGCCUGUUCAGGGACACAUUCCAACUCGUAAGACAUGAAAAAAUGCCACACUUGGGAAAAUUUAGCAUCAACUACAGCAUAAGUUAAUUAAUCCAUUUUUUUUUUACAUAUUUUCUGUAUACUCCAGAUUACAGAAGACUUAUUUUUCGCACUUAACUUCCUGCCUUCAAGAAUUCAACAGUUUCUUGCAGAGGUCAUAAUUUAGUUUCCAUGACUUUGGACAGCACAAAGUUAAGACAGGUGGAUUAGUGGACCUUUGCCGGCCUGUAAAAAUAAUAAUAAACUACUUCUUAAUCUCCUAUUUUGACAAUGGUUCACUUUCAUGUUUGGACAGUACAAAGUUUUAACAGGUAGAUUAGUGGAGUUUCGCUGGACUAUAAAAAUGAUAAAAAAGUACUUCUCAAUCUCCUAUUUUGACAAUGGUCCACUUUUAAGUUUGGACAGUACAAAGUUUUAACAGGUAGAUUAGUGGAGGUUCGCUGGACUAUAAAAAUGAUAAAAAAGUAC
Molecule: long non-coding RNA, 4210 nt
Organism: Eriocheir sinensis (Chinese mitten crab)
Lineage: Eukaryota; Metazoa; Arthropoda; Malacostraca; Decapoda; Varunidae
Exons: 4
Source: RefSeq, a predicted model, not a curated record